GACGAACGCUGGCGGCGUGCUUAACACAUGCAAGUCGAGCGGUAAGGCCCUUCGGGGUACACGAGCGGCGAACGGGUGAGUAACACGUGGGUGACCUGCCCCCUACUCUGGGAUAAGCCUGGGAAACUGGGUCUAAUACCGGAUAUGACUCAUGAUCGCAUGGUUGUGGGUGGAAAGUUUUUUCGGUGGGGGAUGGGCCCGCGGCCUAUCAGCUUGUUGGUGGGGUGAUGGCCUACCAAGGCGACGACGGGUAGCCGGCCUGAGAGGGCGACCGGCCACACUGGGACUGAGACACGGCCCAGACUCCUACGGGAGGCAGCAGUGGGGAAUAUUGCACAAUGGGCGAAAGCCUGAUGCAGCGACGCCGCGUGAGGGAUGACGGCCUUCGGGUUGUAAACCUCUUUCAGCAGGGACGAAGCGCAAGUGACGGUACCUGCAGAAGAAGCACCGGCUAACUACGUGCCAGCAGCCGCCGUAACAC
Molecule: ribosomal RNA, 481 nt
Filed under: uncultured bacterium
Lineage: Bacteria
Description: bacterial SSU rRNA
Rfam family: Bacterial small subunit ribosomal RNA
Source: RNAcentral